AUAAUACUCCAUAGUCCAUGGAAUCUGGAAUGAUCCAUGGAUGAAAGUUCCGGCGCUUAAGGAUCGGUCUGCGGCCUAUCAGGUUGUAGUGGGUGUAACGUACCUACUAGCCGAUGACGGGUAUGGGCCUUGAGAGAGGGAGCCCAGAGUUGGAUUCUGAGACACGAAUCCAGGCCCUACGGGGCGCAGCAGUCGCGAAAACUUCACAAUGGGGGCAACCCCGAUGAGGGAAUUCCUAAUGCUAGCACAUUUGUGUUAGCUUUUCUUUAGCGUAGAUAACUAGAGGAAUAAGGGCUGGGAAAGACGGGUGCCAGCCGCCGCGGUAAUACCUGCAGCCCAAGUGGUGGUCGAGUUUAUUGAGUCUAAAACGUUCGUAGCCGGUUCGGUAAAUCUUUGGGUAAAUCGGAGGGCUUAACCUUCCGACUUCCGAGGAGACUGCCGAACUUGGGACCGGGAGAGGCUAGAGGUACUUCUGGGGUAGGGGUAAAAUCCUGUAAUCCUAGAAGGACCACCGGUGGCGAAGGCGUCUAGCUAGAACGGAUCCGACGGUGAGGGACGAAGCCCUGGGUCGCAAACGGGAUUAGAUACCCCGGUAGUCCAGGGUGUAAACGCUGCAGACUUGGUGU
Molecule: ribosomal RNA, 626 nt
Filed under: uncultured archaeon
Lineage: Archaea
Description: bacterial SSU rRNA
Rfam family: Archaeal small subunit ribosomal RNA
Source: RNAcentral